AACGAACGCUGGCGGCAUGCCUAACACAUGCAAGUCGAACGAGACCUUCGGGUCUAGUGGCGCACGGGUGCGUAACGCGUGGGAAUCUGCCCUUCGGUUCGGAAUAACUCAGGGAAACUUGAGCUAAUACCGGAUAAUGACGUAAGUCCAAAGAUUUAUCGCCGAAGGAUGAGCCCGCGUAGGAUUAGCUUGUUGGUGGGGUAAAUGGCCCACCAAGGCGACGAUCCUUAGCUGGUCUGAGAGGAUGAUCAGCCACACUGGGACUGAGACACGGCCCAGACUCCUACGGGAGGCAGCAGUGGGGAAUAUUGGACAAUGGGCGAAAGCCUGAUCCAGCAAUGCCGCGUGAGUGAUGAAGGCCUUAGGGUUGUAAAGCUCUUUUACCCGGGAUGAUAAUGACAGUACCGGGAGAAUAAGCUCCGGCUAACUCCGUG
This 434-nucleotide ribosomal RNA is filed under the name uncultured bacterium. RNAcentral's name for it is "bacterial SSU rRNA". It matches the Rfam family "Bacterial small subunit ribosomal RNA", at positions 29 to 507 of the family's 1533-position model. The record is from RNAcentral.